AAUGAACGCUGGCGGCAUGCCUAACACAUGCAGGUCGAGCGGAUGAAGGGAGCUUGCUCCUGGAUUCAGCGGCGGACGGGUGAGUAAUGCCUAGGAAUCUGCCUGGUAGUUGGGGAUAACGUCCGUAAACGGGCGCUAAUACCGCAUCCGUCCUGAGGGAGAAAGUGGGGGAUCUUCGGACAUCACGCUAUCAGAUGAGCCUAGGUCGGAUUAGCUAGUUGGUGGGGUAAAGGCCUACCAAGGCGACGACCCGUAACUGGUCUGAGAGGAUGAUCAGUCACACUGGAACUGAGACACGGUCCAGACUCCUACGGGAGGCAGCAGUGGGGAAUAUUGGGCAAUGGGCGAAAGCCUGACCCAGCCAUGCCGCGUGUGUGAAGAAGGUCUUCGGAUCGUAAAGCACUUUUAGUUGGGAGGAAGGGCAGUAAGUUAAUACCUUGAUGUCUUGACGGUACCAACAGAAUAAGCACCGGCUAACUUCGUG
RNAcentral lists this ribosomal RNA (484 nucleotides) under uncultured bacterium. RNAcentral's name for it is "partial 16S ribosomal RNA". It matches the Rfam family "Bacterial small subunit ribosomal RNA", at positions 29 to 507 of the family's 1533-position model. The record is from RNAcentral.